AACCUUUUGAAGAAAAUUAACCAAAAUCUUGGUUAAUAUUUUUCACUGUUAUUAAACUGAUUUGCUUGGGCCGUGUGUGUGUGUAUCUGUGUGUAUAAAACUUUGUUAGCAAUAAUAGAAAUAAAUUGUUUUAAGAAUUAUUUGGAGGCCUAGGACAACAUUAACUUCUUUCAGAGGAGAUUUGCAUUUACUUCUGCCAGGCACCUCUCAGAGACCCUAGCAGUCUGUGGUCUCCUACCCCAAUUUCAGAGACUGAGA
RNAcentral lists this long non-coding RNA (258 nucleotides) under Pan troglodytes (chimpanzee). RNAcentral's name for it is "long non-coding RNA NONPTRT013427". The record is from RNAcentral. Lineage: Eukaryota; Metazoa; Chordata; Mammalia; Primates; Hominidae.